UAGAGCAUUCCACGAAUAUUUUUCAGCUAUGAUGACAAGACCUCCUGAUUAAUCUUAUCCUUUUGAAACCUUGAGGGACAUACCCGAGUUGGUUAUAGAUGGGACUCCCUCAUAGCGUCCGGCUGAUAAUGUUAAACUUAGCAUUUGUUCGUAGACAAUCUAGCUUAUGCAAUAUUUUUAGUUUCUUUUCAUUUUGUAAGAAUCUCUAGAAAGAUAAUUAGCCAAGUAGAAUCUUUAUAGUGGAUUGGAUGAGUGAUGCUACUAGCCAAGUUAGGGGGAGAGCCACGUUCACACCAGCUGAAAUCAAGAACACACACCCAACAAUGAAGGAUCUCUCAACAAUAAAUGCACACAUUAAACUCAGAUAGUAUCUCUUCCUAUUAUGUUAUAAUUCUCUUCUUCCAUUGGAGACAAUGAAAAUUAAGUUGAGAGAGAGAAUAACUAAUUAGCUUUCUGUACCUAAAUUUUGUCUCGAUUUGGAGUUAAUCAAAUGAGUGAUUGAUGGUCUAGAUAAUUUUAGAGAUAUCGAGGAGAAAAUUAUUAAGAACACCC
Molecule: long non-coding RNA, 552 nt
Filed under: Elaeis guineensis (African oil palm)
Lineage: Eukaryota; Viridiplantae; Streptophyta; Magnoliopsida; Arecales; Arecaceae
Description: long non-coding RNA (EGUI_LNC073611)
Source: RNAcentral